GCACUGCUGAGGAGUCCCACAAUAGGACGAAACGGCCGUCCACUAC
RNAcentral lists this non-coding RNA (46 nucleotides) under Schistosoma mansoni. Lineage: Eukaryota; Metazoa; Platyhelminthes; Trematoda; Strigeidida; Schistosomatidae. The record is from RNAcentral.